AUCUUUUUGAAUCCGUGCUGAGAUUUCGUCAAACACCAACUGAUUAGGACUAAUCAGACUUCCAAGAUAAGUGAAGUU
RNAcentral lists this microRNA precursor (78 nucleotides) under Schistosoma mansoni. RNAcentral's name for it is "mir-3492 microRNA precursor family". It matches the Rfam family "mir-3492 microRNA precursor family". The record is from Rfam by way of RNAcentral. Lineage: Eukaryota; Metazoa; Platyhelminthes; Trematoda; Strigeidida; Schistosomatidae.